AAACUGCAAGAGAGUAAUUUAAAAUUUAGGGUAAAUUACAGAAAACCUUCUUAUCAAAAUUCGAUUUUUUACUUUCCCUCUCUAUCAUUUAAAAACCUACACUUUGCCCUCCUAAAAAAUAAAAAAUAUUCACUUUGGACCCUGCUAUCAAUGUUCCGUUAGGGUUCCAUCUAUAUUCCAUUAUUAUUUUUUUUUUAUACCAAAAAUAUCCUUCUACAUAUAAAGAAGAGUUGGGGGAGGAAAGGAAGAAGGAGAAGGCAUUUUGGUCAUUUUAUCAAUACUAUUAACAUCAUACCUCUGUGAACAUUUUUCAUUUUUUAGGGCGACAAAGUAUAGAUUUUUAAAUGCCAGAAAAGAAAAGUAAAAAAGCGGAUUCUGAUAGAAAGAUUUUCUGUAAUUUAGGGUAAAAUUUAUUCUAUAUUUUGUUAUAUAAUGAUAAGAAAGGACAAAAUAAAGAAUAUAUAUGAAUUUUUUAUGAGACAGUGCAUUCGUGUCUGCGAGCCUGACAAAGACACAUACGCGACACAGACACGCAAGACUUAUAGUCGCAUCACUGGAG
RNAcentral lists this long non-coding RNA (559 nucleotides) under Ananas comosus (pineapple). RNAcentral describes it as "long non-coding RNA (ACOM_LNC005938)". The record is from RNAcentral. Lineage: Eukaryota; Viridiplantae; Streptophyta; Magnoliopsida; Poales; Bromeliaceae.